RNAcentral lists this ribosomal RNA (475 nucleotides) under uncultured organism. RNAcentral describes it as "partial 16S ribosomal RNA". It matches the Rfam family "Bacterial small subunit ribosomal RNA", at positions 330 to 797 of the family's 1533-position model. The record is from RNAcentral.
CGUACACUCCUACGGGAGGCAGCAGUGGGGAAUAUUGCACAAUGGGCGCAAGCCUGAUGCAGCCAUGCCGCGUGUAUGAAGAAGGCCUUCGGGUUGUAAAGUACUUCCAGCGGGGAGGAAGGCGAUAAGGUUAAUAACCUUGUCGAUUGACGUUACCCGCAGAAGAAGCACCGGCUAACUCCGUGCCAGCAGCCGCGGUAAUACGGAGGGUGCACGCGUUAAUCGGAAUUACUGGGCGUAAAGCGCACGCAGGCGGUCUGUCAAGUCGGAUGUGAAAUCCCCGGGCUCAACCUGGGAACUGCAUUCGAAACUGGCAGGCUAGAGUCUUGUAGAGGGGGGUAGAAUUCCAGGUGUAGCGGUGAAAUGCGUAGAGAUCUGGAGGAAUACCGGUGGCGAAGGCGGCCCCCUGGACAAAGACUGACGCUCAGGUGCGAAAGCGUGGGGAGCAAACAGGAUUAGAAACCCGGGUAGUCCC